Molecule: transfer RNA, 58 nt
Filed under: Salmo salar (Atlantic salmon)
Lineage: Eukaryota; Metazoa; Chordata; Actinopteri; Salmoniformes; Salmonidae
Also listed under: 1 other name
Rfam family: tRNA
About the family: Transfer RNA (tRNA) molecules are approximately 80 nucleotides in length. Their secondary structure includes four short double-helical elements and three loops (D, anti-codon, and T loops).
Source: Rfam by way of RNAcentral
UGGCCCAGUUGGUAGAGCAUGGUGUUUGCAACGCCAGGGUUGUGGGUUCGAUUCCCAU